AUCUGCAUAUUUAAAUAAUUAUGGUAUUGGAAACAUUAUUUUGGAAAAAAUCUAUUAAUUUGUGUACAUAAGUUAUGCAAGAUUUUGAUAUUUUCAUAUGAUACCAUUGUAUCCAUUUUCUUAAUUUGCAAUAAAAUAAUAAGAUGCCAAACAUGACCUGUGUUACAUAAACAGUCAACAAAAUAACAAGACAAUACCUAAAAACACCCCUUUUCACACCACUAACAAUAAACAGAUAACAAUCUGUCAGGCAUUCAGAGCUAAACAGGGUACUGAUUAUCAGGGGCAGAUAAGGCUACUGAUAGGGUUUGCCCAGACAUAAGGCUGGAAUGAGGUAUAAGACUUUUGAUUGGUUCAAUUUUUUGCACAGGAAAUUAUUUGAAAACAACAACUUUUGAAAAACAAGCUGGUUUCAGCAAUUGAAUUGAGCUAAAUUAAAUUAACAUUAAGACUUAUAAUUGUUCUGUAAAAUGUAUUGAAAUACUGUCAGCAUGAAGUAUUGUGUGAUGAAAACAAUGUGUAUUUUACUACAAUUUGGAAAUCAACAAUAAGUUUGUUGGAAAAGAAGUUCAACUGUUUUUUUUUGGAAUACUGAAGAACAGUUUUAACAGGUUAAACUCUUGCCCCAAGAGCAAAAGGGGUAAUCAUACUACCUGAUGUAUGGACUUUUACACCAGGCUUUUACCCUGCACGAGCUGGCCAACUUGAGGGGAACUGAAGUUGGCAAACCUCGCCCUGUCGUUGAACAAGAAAGCUGGAUUUGUUGAGAGAGUAUCAUUUAAGCUGAAAUCCAGCAUGAAACCAGGGAUGUGAUGGCCAUCGCACAGGCCAUGUGCCGACUAUUCACUUUCCACCAGCUUGUGACUUGCUCCAUGAAGGGAGCAACAACUACAAAGGGGUCACCAAGACCAAGCCUCCCCGCUGCUGAGAGAAAUGCAA
This is a long non-coding RNA of Dreissena polymorpha, 939 nucleotides long. RefSeq lists it as uncharacterized. The record is from RefSeq and is a predicted model, not a curated record. Lineage: Eukaryota; Metazoa; Mollusca; Bivalvia; Myida; Dreissenidae. The transcript has 3 exons.